UGCGGGGUCGUCUAACGGUAGGACGGAUGCCUCUGGAGCAUCUAAUCUUGGUUCGAAUCCAAGCCCCGCAGCUA
RNAcentral lists this transfer RNA (74 nucleotides) under Parcubacteria bacterium DG_74_3. Its description in RNAcentral is "tRNA-Gln". It matches the Rfam family "tRNA". From Rfam's summary of the family: Transfer RNA (tRNA) molecules are approximately 80 nucleotides in length. The record is from RNAcentral. Lineage: Bacteria; Candidatus Parcubacteria.